AGGCUCGUCAAUCGAAAUGAGUACAAUUUAAAUCCUUUAACGAGUACCAAUUGGAGGGCAAGUCUGGUGCCAGCAGCCGCGGUAAUUCCAGCUCCAAUAGCGAAUAUUAAAUUUGUUGCAGUUAAAAAGCUCGUAGUUGGAUCCAAGGUUAGGCAUGCCUGUCUGUUCUUAGUAGCAUGACUGUGUGUGUCUGCCUUUAUUAGUUGAAUGUUCAUUAUGGUGGUCUUCAUCGACUGCUAUGAUGUGCUCAACACGUUUACCUUGAAAAAAUCAGAGCGAUCAAGGCAGGCCUUCGUGCUUGUAUGUUGUUGCAAGGAAUAAUAGAAUAGGACUUCGGUUCUAUUUUGUUGGUUUUGAGAAUUGAAGUAAUGAACAAUAGAGACAGUCGGGGGCAUUUGUAUGGUGGCGUUAGAGGUGAAAUUCUGAGAUCGUCGCCAGACAAACUACUGCGAAAGCAUUUGCCAAGGAUGUCUUCAUUAAUCAAGAUCGAAAGUCAGAGGUUCGAAGACGAUCAGAUACCGUCCUAGUUCUGACCAUAAACGAUGCCGACCUACAAUCGGGGGUGGUUUAUUAUAUUGACCCUCCCGGCUGUCCUCAGGAAACUUUAAGUUGGUUCUGGGGGGAAUAUGGUCUCAAGACUGAAACUUAAAGGAAUUGACGGAAGGGCACCACCAGGAGUGGAGCCUGCGGCUUAAUUUGACCCAACACGGGGAAUCUCACCCGGUCCGGACACUGGUAGGAUGGACAGAUUGAUAGCUCUUUCUUGAUUCAGUGGGUGGUGGUGCAUGGCCGUUCUUAGUUGGUGGAGUGAUUUGUCUGGUUAAUUCCGAUAACGAACGAGACUCUGUCCUGCUAAAUAGUCCAGUGGCAUCAAUCACUAUGUGAUUACAGCUGCUGUUACUUCUUAGAGGGAUUCGCGGAUUUAAACCGCAAGAAAUAGAGCAAUAACAGGUCUGUAUGCCCUUAGAUGUCCGGGGCCGCACGCGCGCUACAUUGACAGUAGAAGCGAGUAUUUCUACCUGGUUCGAAAGAAUUGGGAAAUCUUCGAAUUACUGUCUCCACAGGGAUUGAGGUUUGCAAUUUUGCCUCAUGAACGAGGAAUUCCCAGUAGGCGCAAGUCAUCAGCUUGCGUCGAUUACGUCCCUGCCCUUUGUACACACCGCCCGUCGCUACUACCGAUUGAGUGCAUUAGUGAGGACCUCGGGUUGAGAACAUAGUGGCGCAAGUUACUUUGUUUUCGAAAAGUGGUUCAAAUUUGUGCAUUUAGAGAUAGUAAAAGUCGU
RNAcentral lists this ribosomal RNA (1283 nucleotides) under metagenome. RNAcentral's name for it is "SSU rRNA". It matches the Rfam family "Eukaryotic small subunit ribosomal RNA", at positions 498 to 1792 of the family's 1831-position model. The record is from RNAcentral.